CCGGUCCCCCCAAAAUCUGACCUGGUCCAUAGAAAAAAACAAAUUUUUUUCCCAGAGCUAGGGCAAUUGCCCAAGCUAGCCGGGCGGUAAAUCCGCCCCUGCGCACAGCAAGUACACGGCUCAAUCUGGGGCAGUGAUGAUGAUCGACUCAGGUUGUCUCAAUCCGAAUCUUUGUUCUACUCUAUCAUGUAACAAGAAAAAAACUUGUUCGAUUCGGAGUAUGUGGUGCCAUCUCAUCGCAAAGUGGCAUCACAAUAUCACUUUCCAUUCUGGUGUGAAUUUCGACUAUACACACUACUUUCUAAUUCUCACCCUUUCUUCUCAUGGAUCUGCCACCACCAUCUUCCCCAGUUUCCUUCACCUUCUCUGAGUUCCUCAGCUUCAGAGGCACCGAUACCCGCAGUAGUUCAGUAGUUACCCACUUGGACACAUGCCGCCAAAAUACGACCAGAUUCGUGGUUGGUAUACGAUUUGGAGCUAGGAUUGAAUAUGGCCUAAGGUUCUUUUGAUUCUUGAUGAGGUUGACAACUGGUGUGCUGCAAGCUAUGGUUGGAGGAUCCGAUUGGUUUGGUUCAGGUAGAGUUAUGGUUGGAGGAUCCGAUUGGUUUGGUUCAGGUAGCAGAAUUAGUGGUUCGACCGAAUGUGAGUCAAUGCACCUUAAAUAAGGAAGAAACGAUUUUGAAUGCGGCAACUUGUGCUUGUGCUCUUCCAUUGGUUUUGGAAGUAAUAGAUUUCAACUUGUCUAGAAAAAGUGGGAAAAAAUAUGAGUAAGCUUUGAUGCUUUGGAGGAAGAGGAGCUAAAUGUUUUCUUGACGUAGCUUGUUUCUUCUAAGGAUAUGAAUUGGCAGAGGUUGAGGAUAUACUUCAUGCUCAUUAUAGUGACAACAUGUAGAGGCUUGUCGGAUGAAUAAUUUGUCAAAGAUUAGUUGUGAUGGUAACAUGACAUUACAUGAUAGGAACAAUGGUAAAGAUAUUGUCUGGAAUCACCGAAAGAGUUUGGGAAACACAUGAAUUCAGGGAUUUCGAGUUCUAGAAGACAAUAUGUUAGUAAGACUGAUAUGAAUGGUCCGGUUUUCAUCUUCAACCUUGCUCAAGUUACACUUGUUUUUUACCCUUUAAUAAUAUGUAAUUUCUCUAAAUAUGCGCAUUUAAGUCUUACAUGUUUUUUUGUUUUUGUUUUUAUGUUAUCAGCGAACUGGUGAAAUAUCCUUCAAAAUAUAUCAUCUCAUUUUAAUACAAAGAAAAUUGCCAUAUGAAAGUUACCUGAUAAUUGCUGAGUCAUUUCAAGUAGCUGGCUUAUUGAAGAAGGCAAGUGUAAUAUUUCCAUUUCUAUUUUCCCCAAUCUUAUAUAUUUAUAAAUUCUCUUCAAGAUGAUUCAUAUGGUUUAUUUGUUUCAUUUCAUUAUUUCUAUGUUUUUUGGUUGAAGUUUCUGAAUUUAGAAAGUUUGAAUCUUGUCUAGUGUUAGUGGUUAACGGAGAUACCUGAUGUAUCUGGUUUGUCAAAUUUAGAAGAAUUCUCAUUUCAGUAUUAUUGGAGCUUAACUAGAAUUCAUAAUUCAGUUGGUUUCCUAGAUAAAUUUAAAAUUGAGUGCUUCUAAUGUGGCAUGCUUUUCCACCCAUCAAGCUGACCUCUCUUGAAUGAAUCGAACUUCCAUGUUGUGAUAGUCUUUGUUUUUCAGAAAUAUUAGGAAAGUUGGAAAAUAUGACAGAGCAUGGGUUGUAGGGAAACUUUACUUGGCUUCGAAAAUUAUGACUGGAGCUAUGUGGAAUGCUUAUUUUUCCAAGUAGCAUUUUUCACAAUGGCAUAACUGGUUAAGAUUACCGCUUUGCAGUGCGGUGGUUGUCUUUCCAAAACAGAGCAUGGGUGAAGAAAAUGAGUUUGGUUGUGUAGAAGCUCUUUAUCUCUCUGACUGCAACGUGUCAGAUGAAUUUUUUUGAAUAGGUCUCGCGUUGUUUGGUAAUAAGAAACAUUUAAACUUGUCACAGCUGUUCCUGGGAGGAUCCGAGAAUUUUAAAACUUGAACUCCAUGAUGCUGGAAACACCAAAUUUUAUUUCCAUAAGAUUCCAGAGUGGUUCCCUGCUGUAGCUCCCUGCUUUGUUAGUAAUCCAAUGGAUAAGAACUCUUUACCAGGGGAUUCCUCUUUCGAAGAUUACUAUUUCAAAGAUUCCAUUACAGUCACUUUGAUUAUGAAUGGCUAUUAAUGUUUUACUUAACAUUCUUGGAUGCCAGCGUAUCAUACAAUGCUUUUUGAUGCAAACUGUAAGAACUGAAGAUGAUCUAGAUGAAGGACUUCUAGAAAUUAAACGGAACCAUGCAAAGGUUGUUUGAGGUUUUGAACAAUCUCCCAAUCCUUGUAAGAAGGGAAGUCCCCAACUCCCCAUGUAUUCAAAGUAAAAUGCAUCUUGAAGGACAUGAUUCACCGAUCCUUAUAGCAAGAGAAAAGUAGAUGAUGAUCUCAAUGGUUCGAAAUCACAAUCAUCCACCACUGAAAAAGUAGAUGAUGAUCUCAUUGGUUCAAAAUCACAACCAUCCACCACUGAAAAAAAUAGAUUCGUGGAUAUAGAAGUUUCGAAGACAAUUUAUGCAGCAGCAACAACGUAUGGCAUUGUUGUCACUGCAACAACAUGGCUUAUUGCCACAGCAAGUCAGCAACAGCGUAUGAAUUUAUUGUCAGUCAUAUGGAACUUGGCAUGUAAUUUAACAAGAGAAAAGGAAUACCACACGGUCAAAGGUGCAUGAUUAUUUUCUUCUUUUAAAAAUUACACGGUACUACUCUUCUAAUUCAAUUUGUUGUUUAAGUAGUCGCAAAGAAUUUGCUUAUGUUAGAAGAACUGAAUGACAAUAGUUUGUGAAUUAGAAUAAAAUACUAUUGUAAGUUCUGAUUUAUGUUAAAUCAGCAUAUUCAAUAAUAGUCUGUGAAGUUGUUUCUAGAAAGGCAAACUUUGGUAUUAAUAGUGUCACUCAAUUACCAAAGACUGAAAGAAACUGGAGUAUUUUUUAGUUACUGAUCUGAAGUUCAAGCCACUCCUGAUUUUACUUCUUGCUGUGUCAAGAUAUGUAGGAUUUAGAAUCGUGAUGACUACGCAAUUAUCUCCUACACCUGGCAUCAGGCUUGCUAUCCUGGAUUCCAAUUACGUUUUUGGGACUUUUUUGUGUUGGAAAUUUAAACUCAAGUUUUUAAUCAUGUGUUGGCAUGUAUGUAUAUUGGCUAAAUUUUAGUAUGGGGACUGAGUUCAUUAUGAGUGUUGUAAGGAUUAUCAUGUGUAUCUACAAU
Lotus japonicus is the source of this 3275-nucleotide long non-coding RNA. RefSeq lists it as uncharacterized. The transcript is spliced from 3 exons. The record is from RefSeq and is a predicted model, not a curated record. NCBI's taxonomy places the organism in Eukaryota, Viridiplantae, Streptophyta, Magnoliopsida, Fabales, Fabaceae.